ACUUAGGUAGUUUAAUUAAAAACUUUGAUUUGUGGUGUCAAGAAUAUGGGAUUAAUCUCAUCUUAGGUC
Molecule: transfer RNA, 69 nt
Filed under: Arcynopteryx dichroa
Lineage: Eukaryota; Metazoa; Arthropoda; Insecta; Plecoptera; Perlodidae
Description: tRNA-His
Source: RNAcentral